Molecule: ribosomal RNA, 332 nt
Filed under: Gemella morbillorum
Lineage: Bacteria; Bacillati; Bacillota; Bacilli; Caryophanales; Gemellaceae
Description: bacterial SSU rRNA
Rfam family: Bacterial small subunit ribosomal RNA
Source: RNAcentral
AUAGCGGAUAACAGUAUUUCUCGCAUGAGAGAUAUUUAAAAGUUGGUUAUGCUAACACUAUGAGAUGGCUUUGGGUGCAUUAGCUAGUUGUGGGGUAAAGGCCCACCAAGGCGACGAUGCAUAGCCGACCUGAGAGGGUGAUCGGCCACACUGGGACUGAGACACGGCCCAGACUCCUACGGGAGGCAGCAGUAGGGAAUCUUCCGCAAUGGCGAAAAGCUGACGGAGCAACGCCGCGUGAGUGAAGAAGGAUUUCGGUUCGUAAAGCUCUGUUGUUAGGGAAGAAUGGAUAUGUAGUAACUAUACAUGUACGAGACGGACCUAACCAGAAA